Molecule: ribosomal RNA, 275 nt
Filed under: uncultured bacterium
Lineage: Bacteria
Description: partial 16S ribosomal RNA
Rfam family: Bacterial small subunit ribosomal RNA
Source: RNAcentral
GCGUGUGUGAUGAAGGCCUUAGGGUUGUAAAGCACUUUCACUGGUGAAGAUGAUGACGGUAACCAGAGAAGAAGCCCCGGCUAACUUCGUGCCAGCAGCCGCGGUAAUACGAAGGGGGCGAGCGUUGUUCGGAAUCACUGGGCUUAAAGCGUGCGUAGGCGGAUUUACAAGUCAGGAGUGAAAUCCCGGGGCUCAACCCCGGAACUGCUCUUGAAACUGUAAGUCUAGAAACCAGUAGGGGUGAGUGGAAUUCCGAGUGUAGAGGUGAAAUUCGC